AUAACACGCAGUGCCUGCUCAGCACAUUUCAUCACCAUCCAUUCCGUUUGCUGCUGCCUCCUGAGGCAGUUCAGCCGUCUGGGAGAUCUUUCUGCUUUUUCUGCAACUUCUCCUGGUUUCCCUCUGCUUUGGGACGCACCGAGCCCUUUAGGGGCUGCCUUCCGAGCUCGGGGCUGUGCAGCCCGCGCCCAGCUUCGCGCUGAUGGCCGCUCGCGCGCGUGCCUGCGUGGAGCAGAGCACCUGGCGGCCCGCGGUGCACGCGGCGCCCGCCCUCAGCGCUUGUCCCGCCCUGCCCGCCCCCAGCGAGCGCCCUCAUGGGCGGCCGGUCCGAGGCAGCCCCCGCCGGGGCGCUGCCGGGUUCCGUAUCUCCCCGUCUGUGCGUGUUUUCGGUCAAACCUGAGCAGAGAGGUUCCGCACCCCGGCCGCUGGCACGGGCUGAGUAGCGGAGUGCUCUCGCAGGUGCUGCUCGUUUCUCCAAGGCAGAGCGGCUGGAGCCUUCUGGAAGGUGAAGGCAGCGAAUUUCUGUAUGAAUAGUCACCAGUCUUGAAGAGAAAAGAAGAGAAGGCUGGACAUAUGAUCCUUGAAAGCAACUGGAAAGGCAUGGAAGCACCAGCUGUGUGUGAAUGAAUCAGAUUUGGCGUGGCUAACAUCAGAGAUGAAUCGAAGAUGGUUUUGUUAGGAUGAUAAAGACUGAUUAAUUGAAGAUGGCUUAGAGAUCCUCUAAGGAUUUCUCUUAAGACUCUGUCUGGCUUGUAAAAACACCUAUGCUGUUAAAUUAGUAUGUAGCUAUCACUCAGGUAUUUAUUUAUUCACCUUCAAGUUCAAGCCUCCUUAUCAGUUUUCUGCUGGUAUCGUUCUAGAGUGUCCUAACUAAAUCAAACACCCUUCAGCUUCCCUGCUUCAAAAAUGGAGGUGUGAGGCUGUGUGUGAACCUGAGCCCACAAGUAAUUGCUGUGUAAAAUGCAGACUGCAUUGAUUUAAGUAGCUCUUGUCUGCUGCUCUGAUGCAGACUUGGUUUUUAAGAGAAACUUGCAGAUCUUAAGUAUGUGUUAUCUAAACACAGCAAAUAUUUUAUAUAGGAGAAGGAAGAAUCAGUGACCUGAGAGUGACCACGUGAAUUAUGGGCAAGCUAAACUUGGAAUACUGUGACUUGGAUUAGUGGCAUUUGUUCUGAGCUGCAAGAUACAGAUGAGACAUUCCUCUAUCUGUCAUCUGUAAUAAUUGUUUGUAAUGGGAGAAAAGGAAAGCUGAAGGAAGUGACAGGAGUUGUUUGUAUUUUAAUCCAUCCUCUCUUAGAAGAAAUGGGUAAGGAGAGGGUAUUAGUAACUCAGGAGUUGAAGAGCAUUCAAGCUAAAGGAAGCACCCAUAUGGCUAUGUGUGCUGUAAAUCUACAGCAUAAGUAUGUUGUUCAGGUUGUUAGUUCGGUCGGGUGACGACAGAACCAAAGGGAUAGAGAAAGUCAUUCUUUCUUGCAAACAUAAUGCAUGGAAGUGGAGGAAAGAGGAUGUUGUCUUGAGCUGCAGUUACAUCUGGCAAAAAUCACUCAUUUCAUAGUUGUACUUCUUUAA
Numida meleagris (helmeted guineafowl) is the source of this 1568-nucleotide long non-coding RNA. Lineage: Eukaryota; Metazoa; Chordata; Aves; Galliformes; Numididae. The record is from Ensembl.